This 239-nucleotide unclassified non-coding RNA is filed under the name Sordariomycetes sp. Its description in RNAcentral is "partial contains 5.8S ribosomal RNA, internal transcribed spacer 2, and large subunit ribosomal RNA". The record is from RNAcentral. Lineage: Eukaryota; Fungi; Ascomycota; Sordariomycetes.
CGCACAUUGCGCCCGCCGGUAUUCUGGCGGGCAUGCCUGUUCGAGCGUCAUUUCAACCCUCGGGCCUGUCCCGGUGUUGGGGCUCCGCCGUCUUGGCGGACCCCUAAAAGCAGUGGCGGAGCCGCCCAGCUCUCAGCGUAGUAAUUUUUCCUCGUUGGGGGCGACAGCGGUCGCUUGCCGUGAAACCACCAUUUUCAUUGUUUGACCUCGGAUCAGGUAGGAAUACCCGCUGAACUUAA